GAACCUACGGGGCGCAGCAGUGGGGAAUAUUGCACAAUGGGGGAAACCCUGAUGCAGCGACGCCGCGUGGGUGAAGAAGCGCCUCGGCGCGUAAAGCCCUGUCAGCAGGGAAGAAAAUGACGGUACCUGAAGAAGAAGCCCCGGCUAACUACGUGCCAGCAGCCGCGGUAAUACGUAGGGGGCAAGCGUUAUCCGGAUUUACUGGGUGUAAAGGGAGCGCAGGCGGAUUGACAAGUUGGGAGUGAAAACUAC
This 252-nucleotide ribosomal RNA is filed under the name uncultured bacterium. RNAcentral describes it as "partial 16S ribosomal RNA". It matches the Rfam family "Bacterial small subunit ribosomal RNA", at positions 333 to 604 of the family's 1533-position model. The record is from RNAcentral.